Molecule: long non-coding RNA, 579 nt
Organism: Coregonus clupeaformis (lake whitefish)
Lineage: Eukaryota; Metazoa; Chordata; Actinopteri; Salmoniformes; Salmonidae
Exons: 3
Source: RefSeq, a predicted model, not a curated record
UCCAGUUGACGUGAAUACUGCCGUGGAGAGAGAUCAAAAUGUCAGUGUUUGUAGCCAUCACUUUCAGCCAGAGGAUUUCGAAACGGAUCGAAGUCUCAACUGAUGGGGUCGUCGAACGUUGAAAAGUGAUGCUAUUCCAUAAAUGUUCCCCUUCACGUCAUAGAGGAAGGCAUCCGAUCAGUCAACACAGCAGAAAAUAUGUUGAGCUGAGUGUCCUACAGACGAAUUCUGCUGCUGAUGACGAUGACCUUGGCACCAGCUUUAGUAAUACAGAUCCUGUAGACCCACUGGAAGAAAGCUUUCAGCCGGGAACAAACUCAACAUCAUCUGACUCGGAAACAAGCCAGGACAGCCAAAGAGUCGAUGACAGAUUCUCAUGGCUGCUUGGCUCCAGAGGGAAAUUAUGACAUUGCAUCGUCCUUCCCAGUUGAAGACAAGAGUCGCAAACCCUCCCUUCUCACCAGAAUGUGUAGAGCCAUCACUAAGAGGCUUCUCCAACCCAUUCAAAUCCUCAAGAAAAUACCAAGUAUUUGUUGAAGACAAAUGAGUCAUUUUCCUCAUUAAAUUACAUUACAUUAA